Molecule: ribosomal RNA, 253 nt
Filed under: uncultured bacterium
Lineage: Bacteria
Description: partial 16S ribosomal RNA
Rfam family: Bacterial small subunit ribosomal RNA
Source: RNAcentral
UACAGAGGGUGCGAGCGUUGUUCGGAAUUAUUGGGCGUAAAGGGCGCGUAGGCGGUGCGGUAAGUCACCUGUGAAAUCUCCUGGCUCAACUGGGAGCUUGCAGGCGAAACUGCCGUGCUGGAGUGUGGGAGAGGUGCGUGGAAUUCCCGGUGUAGCGGUGAAAUGCGUAGAGAUCUGGAGGAACACCGAUGGCGAAGGCAGCCUUCUGGGCCAACACUGACGCUCAUGCACGAAAGCGUGGGGAGCAAACAGG